UACGUAGGGACCAAGCGUUGUUCGGAUUUACUGGGCGUAAAGGGCGCGUAGGCGGCUUGUCAAGUCACUUGUGAAAUCUCUGAGCUUAACUCAGAACGGCCAAGUGAAACUGACAUGCUAGAGUGCAGAAGGGGCAGUCGGAAUUCUUGGUGUAGCGGUGAAAUGCGUAGAUAUCAAGAGGAACACCUGAGGUGAAGACGGGUUGCUGGGCUGACACUGACGCUGAGGCGCGAAAGCCAGGGGAGCAAACGGG
RNAcentral lists this ribosomal RNA (253 nucleotides) under uncultured bacterium. RNAcentral describes it as "partial 16S ribosomal RNA". It matches the Rfam family "Bacterial small subunit ribosomal RNA", at positions 524 to 776 of the family's 1533-position model. The record is from RNAcentral.